This 250-nucleotide ribosomal RNA is filed under the name uncultured bacterium. RNAcentral's name for it is "partial 16S ribosomal RNA". It matches the Rfam family "Bacterial small subunit ribosomal RNA", at positions 524 to 773 of the family's 1533-position model. The record is from RNAcentral.
UACGGGGGGAGCGAGCGUUGUUCGGAAUCACUGGGCGUAAAGGGCGCGUAGGCGGUUGGAUAAGUCAGGGGUGAAAUGCCAGGGCUUAACCUUGGAAUUGCCUUUGAUACUGUCUGGCUAGAGGGCGGAAGAGGAUAGUGGAAUUCCUGGUGUAGCGGUGAAAUGCGUAGAUAUCAGGAAGAACACCGGUGGCGAAGGCGGCUAUCUGGUCCGCUACUGACGCUGAGGCGCGAAAGCCAGGGGAGCAAAC